RNAcentral lists this ribosomal RNA (253 nucleotides) under uncultured bacterium. Its description in RNAcentral is "partial 16S ribosomal RNA". It matches the Rfam family "Bacterial small subunit ribosomal RNA", at positions 524 to 776 of the family's 1533-position model. The record is from RNAcentral.
UACAGAGGUCUCAAGCGUUGUUCGGAUUCAUUGGGCGUAAAGGGUGUGUAGGUGGCGCCGUAAGUCGGGUGUGAAAUUUCGGAGCUUAACUCCGAAACUGCAUUCGAUACUGCGGUGCUUGAGGACUGGAGAGGAGACUGGAAUUUACGGUGUAGCAGUGAAAUGCGUAGAGAUCGUAAGGAAGACCAGUGGCGAAGGCGGGUCUCUGGACAGUUCCUGACACUGAGACACGAAGGCCAGGGGAGCAAACGGG